RNAcentral lists this ribosomal RNA (432 nucleotides) under uncultured bacterium. RNAcentral describes it as "bacterial SSU rRNA". It matches the Rfam family "Bacterial small subunit ribosomal RNA", at positions 29 to 506 of the family's 1533-position model. The record is from RNAcentral.
AACGAACGCUGGCGGCAGGCCUAACACAUGCAAGUCGAACGCCGUAGCAAUACGGAGUGGCAGACGGGUGAGUAACACGUGGGAACGUACCCUUCGGUUCGGAAUAACUCAGGGAAACUUGAGCUAAUACCGGAUACGUCCGAGAGGAGAAAGAUUUAUCGCCGAGGGAUCGGCCCGCGUCUGAUUAGCUUGUUGGUGAGGUAACGGCUCACCAAGGCGACGAUCAGUAGCUGGUCNGAGAGGAUGAUCAGCCACAUUGGGACUGAGACACGGCCCAAACUCCUACGGGAGGCAGCAGUGGGGAAUAUUGGACAAUGGGCGCAAGCCUGAUCCAGCCAUGCCGCGUGAGUGAUGAAGGCCCUAGGGUUGUAAAGCUCUUUUACCCGGGAAGAUAAUGACUGUACCGGGAGAAUAAGCCCCGGCUAACUUCGU